This 318-nucleotide ribosomal RNA is filed under the name uncultured eukaryote. Its description in RNAcentral is "partial 18S ribosomal RNA". It matches the Rfam family "Eukaryotic small subunit ribosomal RNA", at positions 1470 to 1796 of the family's 1831-position model. The record is from RNAcentral.
CCCUUAGAUGUUCUGGGCCGCACGCGCGCUACACUGAUUCAUGCACUAAGUAUAUAACCUUGGUAGAAAUGCUUGGGUAAUCUUCGAAACUGAAUCGUGCUGGGGAUUGGAGCUUGUAAUUAUUCUCCAUGAACGAGGAAUUCCUAGUAAACGCGAGUCAUCAGCUCGCAUUGAUUACGUCCCUGCCCUUUGUACACACCGCCCGUCGCACCUACCGAUUGAAUGGUCCGGUGAAAUCUUCGGACCGCGCAACGCCGCAAGGUGAUGCGUGGAAAGUUGCUUAAACCUUACCGUUUAGAGGAAGGUGAAGUCGUAACA